Molecule: ribosomal RNA, 442 nt
Filed under: uncultured bacterium
Lineage: Bacteria
Description: partial 16S ribosomal RNA
Rfam family: Bacterial small subunit ribosomal RNA
Source: RNAcentral
CCUACGGGAGGCAGCAGUGGGGAAUAUUGGGCAAUGGGCGCAAGCCUGACCCAGCAACGCCGCGUGAAGGAAGAAGGCUUUCGGGUUGUAAACUUCUUUUGUCAGGGAAGAGUAGAAGACGGUACCUGACGAAUAAGCCACGGCUAACUACGUGCCAGCAGCCGCGGUAAUACGUAGGUGGCAAGCGUUGUCCGCAUUUACGGGGUGUAAAGGGCGUGUAGCCGGGUUGACAAGUCAGAUGUGAAAUCCUGCGGCUUAACCGCAGAACUGCAUUUGAAACUGUUGAUCUUGAGUACUGGAGAGGCAGACGGAAUUCCUAGUGUAGCGGUGAAAUGCGUAGAUAUUAGGAGGAACACCAGUGGCGAAGGCGGUCUGCUGGACAGCAACUGACGGUGAGGCGCGAAAGCGUGGGGAGCAAACAGGAUUAGAUACCCCAGUAGUC